Molecule: long non-coding RNA, 1179 nt
Filed under: Homo sapiens (human)
Lineage: Eukaryota; Metazoa; Chordata; Mammalia; Primates; Hominidae
Description: HSALNT0138891
Source: RNAcentral
ACUCUGAGCAAUUUAUUGCUUAAUAAUAAAAAAAAGGCUCAAAAGUUCAGCUUUCACAUCACUGAUUCAGUUUUUACAGUAUGGAUUCCUCUCUUUACUGCUUUCAAAGCAGUUUUAAAAUUAGUUAUUGUAUCUUGAGUUUCCUUUCAUUUUUUCCUUAUCUCGUUCAGCUCCUUUUGCCCUUCUGUCUGGCUCCCAGCUAGCUCCAUUUUAUAUCUCAGUCUGUUGUCUUAUCCUCUCAUCUUUCAUCUCUUGUUUCAUGGUGUUCAAUUCUUUUCUUUUUACUGCAAGACAAAGCAGGCACUUUUUAAAAUCUACUUCUUUAUUCUGUAGGUUUGGAAAAACUUUUUAAGUAGGUUUUUUCUCUGAUUCUGAUGGGCUGAGCUCACCUUAUCUUAUUGUGUGUACUCUUUUUAUAUGCUAUGUGUUAUGAUUUUUUCCUCUUUACCCACACACAAAUGGUGGCAUGAUUAUCAAUAACAAAUAUGUCCAAAAUCAAGUGCGUAUAUUAACCUUUUCUCCUCAAAGUCUAGUUGGUAUCAGUGCCCACUGUAGCCGGCAGCAGGCCUGCUGAUCCAGAGAAAAGCCCAAUUAUGCUGAGAGGCUGAGUAGUCUCAAGAUCUGAAGACAGCAGAAACCUGGGAAAGUUAAUGAUAUACGUUGUUAUACUCCAAGUGUGAGUCUGAAGACAAGGGAAGACCAACGUCCAAGCUUGAAGACAGUCAGAUAGAAUCAUUCUGCAGCCUGGCUAAGGAUGAAGAUAACUGAUAAACUAUUAUAUACCACUAUACCAAAAAGGAUUGAAAUUAUCCUGAAAAAGGAUUGCUGCUAUUGUUGCCUUCUCUGCAUCGUGCUGUGUCCCCAAGAAGAAAACAGUUCAUGUGAAGGAAGAGAUUAGUUCCACUCAUGAAAAUCUGAAGAUUUAUAUUGUCUCUGGUUUCAUGUGAUUAUGUCAUGUGUGUCAAGAGCCAACAGUUAAUAAAUAUGUACUGAACACACAUUUCAUGGUAGGCAAAUUGCCACUUAAUAUCAAUGUGGUUUAGGUUCUAACAGUUAUAGUGCUUCCUGCUGUACAAGAGUUGGGGAUUUAAUGGUAUUUGAGGAUAUCCUGAAGAAAAGAAUGUGAACCAUGUUCACCAUUGGAGUGAAGAUGAAUGAAAACAGGUCUGAUUGACUGUG